Long non-coding RNA from Paramormyrops kingsleyae, 2576 nucleotides. RefSeq lists it as uncharacterized. The record is from RefSeq and is a predicted model, not a curated record. NCBI's taxonomy places the organism in Eukaryota, Metazoa, Chordata, Actinopteri, Osteoglossiformes, Mormyridae.
UCAGCAGGAGAAACAACAGCCCGCAUUGGCUUGACAUAACGCAGCCUCUGAUGAGUAAUCGGCCGCUCUCCCGGGACACGGAUUGGCUCGGGAGCGAAAGGGCAGCCGCAAGACGGCUGUAAAGCCAGUGGUGGCAACUGAGAAGAGGCAACUUCAGUCACUCUCCUGUUUCCUGGUUCUCAGAACAGGUAUCCCAUUAUUACAACCAGGAGGCCAAAACAAACAAACUUGUGCUCUGUUUCAGAUCGACUGACAUCCAAGUCGCCUUUUUCUACACUAACAAGAAUGGAAGGUGAUGGUCAGUGAAGUGGACAGGAAGCAGUUUUUUUGCUUUUGCUGUGAGUCACUCUUCCACACCUUUGCAGAGUGCUCUGGUAUGGACCUGCAAUCAGAGAUAUGCAAUAUUUUCAGAUUUAAAAUAUUUCUGGUGCCAGUCCGACAUGGUUCUUCUAACCUAUUUUCUCACUGGUACAAAGGAGGGAAUUCCAUGCCCAAAGGGCCCCAGAGUCUGCUGUUGUAUAUUUUUAAAUGAUUUAUUUAGCAGUGUUAAACCAUAGUUACAGUAGCUUGCUUUCAGGCUUUCAUGGGAGAUUUUUCAUGGCUUUUAUCUGUUUAUACAACAGGAUAUUAACUGGAAUAUUGAUCUGUUAUGCCGCAGGCUAUCCUCAGCCACGUUCGUCCUCAUGGAUCCCCGAAUGUGUGUGGGUCUCCGGUCUGCGUUUGAGUCUGUCUGCUGGUGAAAGUGGCUGUUCUGUUGUGUAGGUUGCCCAGAAGAUGCCUCACUGUCUUAGUUAAGACACUCAAGGCAAAAGGUGCCACAAAGACUCAUUUCUGACGCUUGUUGGAUCUUGCCGGAAUUUGUGCCAGUGCCCCCUGGAGGAAGGAUGAUGAAGGUGCCAUCAGUCAGAUGAGGGUUAAGCUCCUUACACGUGACUCUUCAUUUCUCAUGUCAUGGCAUUGGCUUUCGAAGGAAGAAAGUUCAGGUGCAAAUGGUGUAAUUAAUAAGGUGUUUUGUACUUCCUGGUAUAAAAAUUGAGAGCUGCUUUUAUUUUAGCACAGUUUUAUAAAGACUUCCACAAAUAUCUUAAUCCCUGCAGAAAAAUAGUGAUUUAACAACUGUUCUGACUUCUGAGUUCGAUCUUGUUUUGAUUCCAAGAACUCAAACACAGAUGUUACAGUUCCCUGCCAGGCUUCACUUAUCCGACUAACAUAUUGCAUUUUGUUGUUGUGUUAGAUGAUUUUAUGUACCAUAGCCUGUUAUGUUCCUGAUUUUCCUGUUCCUGUGAUCCAGCUUAAGGGUCCAACAGAAUAGUCCCAUUUCUGGUCAUACAGACUAAGUCUGUAUCUUGCUGACCUAAGCAGACUUGCUGCAACCCUGUGGCCCCAGUGCGCUCUCUCUCUCUCUCUCUCUCUCUCUCUCUCUCUUUCCCCCUUGCUCUUUCAAUUAUGGGCUCAGCACAGCUGAUCUAAUUGGAUGAGACAUUUCCAUUUAACUGAAGGGAGAGGUAAUUUAAGGUAAAAGCAGAUGGUCACUUAAGACACUUAAUUUUAACAAAAGCUCAUUCAUGCCAAUGACUUAUUUCUUCCCUUUUCUUCCUCCUGAAUUGCAGAGAGUGAUCAUACAUCUUGGGACCAGGUUAUGUAACAAUGAACAAUGAUGUUCAAGAGGAUGCAAAAGUUCAGUGAUGCAAAGUGAUUUCCUAAAACAUGACGUUUUGCAUCCUCUUGAACACAACCUCCAUUAACACACAUUUUACAUAACAUGAUUUCCCUAUGCACCUUUAAUCAUUUUACUUAUGUAGUACUAUUUUAUUUUUUUCCAUAUAUAUGUAGAUGGAUAUUUAUCUUACUGUAUAUAGGUUGAAUUCCUUCUUAACUGGAACAACUAUAUUCCCUGUCCUGGCAUAGGAACCAAAUCAAUCUUAGUCUGUGCACUAUCCUACCUGCCAACCAGCACCCAGAAGCAAGGAUUUUCUGAUUAAUUACCUGUGAUUGCAGCCAGUUCCAGGACAUAACAAAAGAAAAAUUCUUUUGCCCUGUAUGAUUAGCUGAGGGCUCAUUAGCUAGCUGAACCUGCAGCACUGGGUUUGUAUACCUCUGCUCUGUGAUUAUUCUCAGUCGCAGUCCGGGUUUUUCCACUAUUGCUGCAGAAAUAGAAGAACCAUAAAUCUUAGAGUGCAACCAUCUAAUACUGCUGUAGAACCUCCUGGUUGAUGCCUCACCCCAUGAUCCUAGGUUUAUAUGAUCCGUCAGUUAAUUUAACCAACAAUGAACAGUAAUAACUCAAGAGUUCUGCAGAAAAAAACCGCAAACAUCUGUGAUCUAUGAGGCCUGAACUUGCUAAAACCUGCUGAAGAACCUGCAGAACCACAUGGUCUACAAUGACUCUGCCUACUGCUGCUGUAGAACCUCCAGGACGCCACCUCAGGACUGCUGGAGGAUUGUCCCUGAGGAUCCUUGAGGGUGGAGAACAUCAGCUAUAAGCAGGGCUGGUGGCAUGAAUUGUUAACUGAAAGAAGAUGCCCCCCAAGGCUAAUAAGACGAAUGGGGUGGGGGAGGUGGGCCAUAUUUCUUGC